Molecule: ribosomal RNA, 700 nt
Filed under: uncultured bacterium
Lineage: Bacteria
Description: bacterial SSU rRNA
Rfam family: Bacterial small subunit ribosomal RNA
Source: RNAcentral
AGUGGCGGACGGGUGAGUAACGCGUAAGAAUCUAACUUCAGGACGGGGACAACAGUGGGAAACGACUGCUAAUACCCGAUGUGCCGCGAGGUGAAACCUAAUUGGCCUGAAGAAGAGCUUGCGUCUGAUUAGCUAGUUGGUGGGGUAAGAGCCUACCAAGGCGACGAUCAGUAGCUGGUCUGAGAGGAUGAGCAGCCACACUGGGACUGAGACACGGCCCAGACUCCUACGGGAGGCAGCAGUGGGGAAUUUUCCGCAAUGGGCGAAAGCCUGACGGAGCAACGCCGCGUGAGGGAGGAAGGUCUUUGGAUUGUAAACCUCUUUUCUCAAGGAAGAAGUUCUGACGGUACUUGAGGAAUCAGCCUCGGCUAACUCCGUGCCAGCAGCCGCGGUAAUACGGGGGAGGCAAGCGUUAUCCGGAAUUAUUGGGCGUAAAGCGUCCGCAGGUGGUCAGCCAAGUCUGCCGUCAAAUCAGGUUGCUUAACGACCUAAAGGCGGUGGAAACUGGCAGACUAGAGAGCAGUAGGGGUAGCAGGAAUUCCCAGUGUAGCGGUGAAAUGCGUAGAGAUUGGGAAGAACAUCGGUGGCGAAAGCGUGCUACUGGGCCGUAUCUGACACUCAGGGACGAAAGCUAGGGGAGCGAAAGGGAUUAGAUACCCCUGUAGUCCUAGCCGUAAACGAUGGAUACUAGGCGUGGCUU